RNAcentral lists this ribosomal RNA (534 nucleotides) under uncultured soil bacterium. RNAcentral's name for it is "bacterial SSU rRNA". It matches the Rfam family "Bacterial small subunit ribosomal RNA", at positions 8 to 524 of the family's 1533-position model. The record is from RNAcentral.
AGAGUUUGAUCCUGGCUCAGAACGAACGUUAGCGGCGCGCCUAACACAUGCAAGUCGAGCGAGAAAGGGGCAACCCUAGUAAAGCGGCGCACGGGUGAGUAACACGUAGGUAAUCUACCUUCUGGUGGUGGAUAACCUUCCGAAAGGAGGGCUAAUACAGCAUGAGACCACGGCUUCGCGAGGAGCAGGGGUCAAAGUCGGCCACUACAUGUAAGCUGACGCCAGAAGAUGAGCCUGCGGCCCAUCAGCUAGUUGGUAGGGUAACGGCCUACCAAGGCGAAGACGGGUAGCUGGUCUGAGAGGAUGAUCAGCCACACUGGAACUGAGACACGGUCCAAACUCCUACGGGAGGCAGCAGUGGGGAAUCUUGCGCAAUGGGCGAAAGCCUGACGCAGCGACGCCGCGUGAGUGAUGAAGGCCUUCGGGUUGUAAAGCUCUGUGGAGGGGGACGAAUAAGUCGUGGCUAACAUCCACGAUGAUGACGGUACCUCUUUAGCAAGCACCGGCUAACUCUGUGCCAGCAGCCGCGGUAAU